RNAcentral lists this ribosomal RNA (253 nucleotides) under uncultured bacterium. RNAcentral's name for it is "partial 16S ribosomal RNA". It matches the Rfam family "Bacterial small subunit ribosomal RNA", at positions 524 to 776 of the family's 1533-position model. The record is from RNAcentral.
UACGAAGGGGGCUAGCGUUGCUCGGAAUUACUGGGCGUAAAGCGCACGUAGGCGGCUUUCUAAGUCGGGGGUGAAAUCCUGGAGCUCAACUCCAGAACUGCCUUCGAUACUGGAAUGCUCGAGUCCGGGAGAGGUGAGUGGAACUGCGAGUGUAGAGGUGAAAUUCGUAGAUAUUCGCAAGAACACCUGAGGCGAAGGCGGCGUUCUGGACUGCUACUGACACUGAGGAACGAAAGCCAGGGGAGCAAACGGG